GAUGAACGCUGGCGGCGUGCCUAAUACAUGCAAGUAGAACGCUGAAGGAGGAGCUUGCUCUUCUGGAUGAGUUGCGAACGGGUGAGUAACGCGUAGGUAACCUGCCUGGUAGCGGGGGAUAACUAUUGGAAACGAUAGCUAAUACCGCAUGACAACAGUUAUUGCAUGAUAACUGUUUAAAAGGGGCAACUGCUCCACUACCAGAUGGACCUGCGUUGUAUUAGCUAGUUGGUGAGGUAACGGCUCACCAAGGCGACGAUACAUAGCCGACCUGAGAGGGUGAUCGGCCACACUGGGACUGAGACACGGCCCAGACUCCUACGGGAGGCAGCAGUAGGGAAUCUUCGGCAAUGGAAGGAAGUCUGACCGAGCAACGCCGCGUGAGUGAAGAAGGUUUUCGGAUCGUAAAGCUCUGUUGUAAGAGAAGAACGAGUGUGAGAGUGGAAAGUUCACACUGUGACGGUAUCUUACCAGAAAGAGACGGCUAACUACGUG
Molecule: ribosomal RNA, 495 nt
Filed under: uncultured bacterium
Lineage: Bacteria
Description: partial 16S ribosomal RNA
Rfam family: Bacterial small subunit ribosomal RNA
Source: RNAcentral